RNAcentral lists this long non-coding RNA (543 nucleotides) under Salmo salar (Atlantic salmon). RNAcentral's name for it is "lncRNA (ENSSSAG00000102659.1)". Lineage: Eukaryota; Metazoa; Chordata; Actinopteri; Salmoniformes; Salmonidae. The record is from RNAcentral.
CACACACCUGGUGUCCCAUGUCUAAAUCAGUCCCUGAUUAGAGGGGAACAAGGAAAAGAUGCAGUGGAACUGGCUUCGAGGUCCAGAGUUGAGGGGCUCCGUUGCAACCUUAGUUGGAAAAACCAAGAAGACCUCCCAUCCACUUCACAUCAAAGAAUGCCUCUUCCAUUGAGACCUGAGCCCUAGGACCAUGCCUCAGGACUACCUGGUAUGAUGACUCCUUGCUGUCCCCAGUCCACCUGGCCGUGCUGCUGCUCCAGUUUCAACUGUUCUGCCUGCGGCUAUGGAACCCUGACCUGUUCACCGGACGUGCUUGUUGCACCCUCGACAACUACUAUGAUUAUUAUUAUUUGACCAUGCUGGUCAUUUAUGAACAUUUUAACAUUUUAACAUUUUGACCAUGUUCUGUUUUAAUAUCCACCCUGCACAGCCAGAAGAGGACUGGCCACCCCUCAUAGCCUGGUUCCUCUCUAGGUUUCUUCCUAGGUUUUUGGCCUUUCUAGGGAGUUUUUCCUAGGGAGUUUUUCCUAGCCACCGUGCUUC